UCCGUAGGUGAACCUGCGGAAGGAUCAUUACUGAGUGAGGGCCCUCUGGGUCCAACCUCCCACCCGUGUUUAUUAUACCUUGUUGCUUCGGCGGGCCCGCCGUAAGGCCGCCGGGGGGCUUCUGCCCCCGGGCCCGCGCCCGCCGAAGACAUCUCGAACUCUGUCUGAAGAUUGUAGUCUGAGUAUAAAUAUAAAUUAUUUAAAACUUUCAACAACGGAUCUCUUGGUUCCGGCAUCGAUGAAGAACGCAGCGAAAUGCGAUACGUAAUGUGAAUUGCAGAAUUCAGUGAAUCAUCGAGUCUUUGAACGCACAUUGCGCCCUCUGGUAUUCCGGAGGGCAUGCCUGUCCGAGCGUCAUUGCUGCCCUCAAGCACGGCUUGUGUGUUGGGCCCCGUCCUCCGAUCCCGGGGGACGGGCCCGAAAGGCAGCGGCGGCACCGCGUCCGGUCCUCGAGCGUAUGGGGCUUUGUCACCCGCUCUGUAGGCCCGGCCGGCGCUUGCCGAUCAACCAAAUUUUUAUCCAGGUUGACCUCGGAUCAGGUAGGGAUACCCGCUGAACUUAA
Molecule: ribosomal RNA, 562 nt
Filed under: uncultured fungus
Lineage: Eukaryota; Fungi
Description: eukaryotic LSU rRNA
Rfam family: 5.8S ribosomal RNA (bases 204-357)
Source: RNAcentral